UACGUAGGGUGCGAGCGUUAAUCGGAAUUACUGGGCGUAAAGCGUGCGCAGGCGGCUUCGCAAGUCAGACGUGAAAUCCCCGGGCUUAACCUGGGAAUGGCGUUUGAAACUACGGAGCUGGAGUAUGGCAGAGGGGGGUGGAAUUCCACGUGUAGCGGUGAAAUGCGUAGAUAUGUGGAGGAACACCGAUGGCGAAGGCAGCCCUCUGGGCCAAUACUGACGCCCAUGCACGAAAGCGUGGGGAGCAAACAGG
RNAcentral lists this ribosomal RNA (253 nucleotides) under uncultured bacterium. Its description in RNAcentral is "partial 16S ribosomal RNA". It matches the Rfam family "Bacterial small subunit ribosomal RNA", at positions 524 to 776 of the family's 1533-position model. The record is from RNAcentral.